Molecule: non-coding RNA, 28 nt
Filed under: Bombyx mori (domestic silkworm)
Lineage: Eukaryota; Metazoa; Arthropoda; Insecta; Lepidoptera; Bombycidae
Source: RNAcentral
GAGGAACUUACCGCGGAGCUUGCCCGGA